Molecule: long non-coding RNA, 1929 nt
Filed under: Medicago truncatula (barrel medic)
Lineage: Eukaryota; Viridiplantae; Streptophyta; Magnoliopsida; Fabales; Fabaceae
Description: long non-coding RNA (MTRU_LNC003661)
Source: RNAcentral
CCACUUUCCUUCCUGCCACCGGCUCUUCGUAUCACCACAGGAUCUGAAUGGUUAACGUGGAGAAUUUUUCUAAGAAACCCUUGGAAUCAUUAGUUUGAUAAUACCGACCUUUCAUUCUUUCCCCCUUGGGAAAAAUUUCUACUUUUUUAUCUCUGUUAUUGUUUUCCUCCAUCGAAGAAACAUCAAUUUUUCUUCCAUUUGCCUCACUAUAUUUACCAUUAUCAUAGGGACCAUGUUCAUAUGGUCUCUUUUACAUUCCGUUGUCUUCAUUCAGGUAAGUAUCAUUUUCCCUUUUAUUGAUUAGAAUUUAUCUAAAAAAAGUUAUUAAAAUUUUAAAACUAUUUGGUAUUACUAUGUUUUUAAAGAACACGUAAAUACUGGUGGUUAGAUUACAUAACCACGAUUUUCAGGUAAUUAGAAUACAAUAUCAUAAUAAUACAUCACAUGCAUCCUUACAUGGCAUGCAUUAUACUUAUGAUACUAGAUCAAUGAUUGGAUUAUUAAACAUAAGACAACCAUAUUUAUAUUUGGACAAUCAUUUUGUAACAACUUUCUCUCUUAUAAUUAUGAAUAUCCACUUUUUUAAUUUGUAAACUUAUGGUGCAUCAAAAGUUGUCACACAAAUGUUAUUCAAAUAAUAUACCAUAGUCACAUAAUUUGUUGGGUUGAGUGGUGAACAACAAAUUGGUUUGCGCGAACUGAUUCACGGAUCUUUCGCAUAUUGGUUCCUGCAAAUUUGUGAAGGAAUUCGCAGAAACAAGCGAACCAAGAGAAUCUGCAAAAACGACUAUCGUAAGAGUGAGGCGGAGCAUUGUGAGUAGAGGAAUUUUGUCUGUGAGUGAAGAAAUGCCGAGGCGGCAGACACAGUUUCACGUUUUUGAGGAAGAAGAUGAUGAAAAUGAAUCAAAGAAACUCGAUUGGAUAAGGAGCCGGUUGUUUCUCUAAGUGAAAGGAGGAAGAUGACGAUGAGAUGAAAUUAGGGUUUCUUGCUAAACUAUUUUUAUAUUGGGUUUGGGUUAGCUUGUUGGACUAUAUUAAUAUUGGGUUUUGACUUGGGUUGAUAAAGUGAAAACACGCUUUGCUCACUCUCAACUGCACUUCUGAAAAUGCCCUCAACAUGACUUAAGUCAUGCAUGUGUUAAACAUAACGUGACUUAGGUCACACUCAAAUACAACCCGCGUUGUUGAACCCAGCGUAAAGUCACGUUGCGUGUCCUUUUAAAGAUCAGACAUCAACUCAUUUUUUCAUUUCCUCUUUCACAUCUAAAAUCUCCAAAAUCUCUCCCUAAUCAACCAAAUCCAAAAUUCUUUCAAGUUAAAAUCAAACAAUACUCCAGUAACAACUAAGUUUUCAUAAUCAAACAACAUUAACCUUUUAUAUUUAUAUGUUAGAUUUUUCCUCUUAAAUUAGAAAUUGUUUAGUUUAAGGGUUUGUUUAAUUUUUUUUUUUUUUUUUUGGCAAGAAAUGAUACAAUGUUUACAUGUAAAUGACUUAAAUUGCUUAAUUAUUUAGAUGUUUGCAUGUAUGUUGUAGUUGUGAGUUUUAGGGUUUACGUAUAAUUUUCCCUCCAAGUGUUUGAUGAAAUGUUUGAAUGAGUUUUUCAUUGAUUGUUUAAUUUCUUAUGGUGUAGAUCUGAAACAAUGGAUAAUUUGUUCAGUGCUUAAGUACGCUUCAACGGUGGAAACUCUCAUAUUUGAUGACUCAUCCUAUAUGAAGGGAUUCGAUGUGAAAACAUAUAUAGUUGAUUAUGUAGAAUACAUUUGUUGUUCUCUUCAUUCUUUUGAGUUUUCAAAGGAUGUUGCAAAUAUCUACACUAAGUAUAAGACACUUCAAUACUAACUUUUUCCGUAAACUUUCAACAAUUUAAUUUAAAUCCAACAUCAUGAUGACACAAUAUAUUUAGGGGAAAUGUAAUGUAACGUAGAUGA